RNAcentral lists this ribosomal RNA (444 nucleotides) under uncultured bacterium. RNAcentral describes it as "bacterial SSU rRNA". It matches the Rfam family "Bacterial small subunit ribosomal RNA", at positions 354 to 796 of the family's 1533-position model. The record is from RNAcentral.
GUAGGGAAUAUUGGGCAAUGGAGGCAACUCUGACCCAGCCAUGCCGCGUGCAGGAUGACGGCCCUCUGGGUUGUAAACUGCUUUAUACGGGAAGAAAAAAUACUACGUGUAGUAUACUGACGGUACCGUAAGAAUAAGGAUCGGCUAACUCCGUGCCAGCAGCCGCGGUAAUACGGAGGAUCCAAGCGUUGUCCGGAUUUAUUGGGUUUAAAGGGUGCGUAGGCGGAUCUUUAAGUCAGUGGUGAAAGCCUGCAGCUUAACUGUAGAAUUGCCAUUGAAACUGAAGAUCUAGAAUGUGGUUAAAGUAGGCGGAAUGUAUCAUGUAGCGGUGAAAUGCAUAGAUAUGAUACAGAACACCGAUAGCGAAGGCGGCUUGAUGAACCAUUAUUGACGCUGAGGCACGAAAGCGUGGAGAGCGAACAGGAUUAGAUACCCGAGUAGUCC